RNAcentral lists this ribosomal RNA (433 nucleotides) under uncultured bacterium. RNAcentral's name for it is "partial 16S ribosomal RNA". It matches the Rfam family "Bacterial small subunit ribosomal RNA", at positions 29 to 507 of the family's 1533-position model. The record is from RNAcentral.
AACGAACGCUGGCGGCAUGCCUAACACAUGCAAGUCGAACGAGACCUUCGGGUCUAGUGGCGCACGGGUGCGUAACGCGUGGGAACCUGCCCUUAGGUUCGGAAUAACUCCCCGAAAGGGGUGCUAAUACCGGAUAAUGUCUUCGGACCAAAGAUUUAUCGCCUUUGGAUGGGCCCGCGUUGGAUUAGCUAGUUGGUAGGGUAAAAGCCUACCAAGGCGACGAUCCAUAGCUGGUCUGAGAGGAUGAUCAGCCACACUGGGACUGAGACACGGCCCAGACUCCUACGGGAGGCAGCAGUGGGGAAUAUUGGACACUGGGCGAAAGCCUGAUCCAGCAAUGCCGCGUGAGUGGUGAAGGCCUUAGGGUUGUAAAGCUCUUUUACCCGGGAUGAUAAUGACAGUACCGGGAGAAUAAGCGCCGGCUAACUCCGUG